AAACCAGCACCUCAAGUGGUCAGGAUGAUUAUUGGGCCUAAAGCAUCCGUAGCCUGUUAUGUAAGUUUCCGGUUAAAUCCAUAUGCUCAACAUAUGGGCUGCCGAAAAUACUGCAUAGCUAGGGAGUGGGAGAGGUAGACGGUACUCGGUAGGAAGGGGUAAAAUCCUUUGAUCUAUUGAUGACCACCUGUGGCGAAGGCGGUCUACCAGAACACGUCCGACGGUGAGGGAUGAAAGCUGGGGGAGCAAACCGGAUUAGAAACCCCAGUAGUCC
This 274-nucleotide ribosomal RNA is filed under the name uncultured bacterium. RNAcentral's name for it is "partial 16S ribosomal RNA". It matches the Rfam family "Archaeal small subunit ribosomal RNA", at positions 473 to 747 of the family's 1478-position model. The record is from RNAcentral.